AUUUUUACCUAGCAGGGGAGAUUCCAUGAACACAAAGAUGGUUUUCUCAGGAUGAGGCAUAUACCUCAUCAUUCUGGAUAUGCUGACUCCUGAAAUUUCUCCAAAUAUGAAAAACUCAAUUAUAUAAUUUGUAGUAGUGGGUGAGUGCAUUCAUGCUCACCUC
Molecule: small nuclear RNA, 163 nt
Organism: Suncus etruscus (white-toothed pygmy shrew)
Lineage: Eukaryota; Metazoa; Chordata; Mammalia; Eulipotyphla; Soricidae
Product: U1 spliceosomal RNA
Exons: 1
Source: RefSeq, a predicted model, not a curated record